RNAcentral lists this ribosomal RNA (512 nucleotides) under uncultured organism. Its description in RNAcentral is "SSU rRNA". It matches the Rfam family "Bacterial small subunit ribosomal RNA", at positions 8 to 509 of the family's 1533-position model. The record is from RNAcentral.
AGAGUUUGAUCCUGGCUCAGGAUGAACGCUAGCUACAGGCUUAACACAUGCAAGUCGAGGGGCAGCAUUGGGAUAGCUUGCUAUUCCAGAUGGCGACCGGCGCACGGGUGAGUAACGCGUAUCCAACUUCCCCUUAGUAGGGCAUAGCCCGGCGAAAGUCGGAUUUAACACCCUAUGUUCUCCGUAGAGGGCAUCUGCAAUGGAGCAAAGGUUUACCGCUAAGGGAUGGGGAUGCGUCUGAUUAGGCGGCAGGCGGGGUAACGGCCCACCUGGCCUACGAUCGGUAGGGGUUCUGAGAGGAAGGUCCCCCACAUUGGAACUGAGACACGGUCCAAACUCCUACGGGAGGCAGCAGUGAGGAAUAUUGGUCAAUGGGCGCAAGCCUGAACCAGCCAAGUAGCGUGCGGGAUGAAGGCCCUACGGGUUGUAAACCGCUUUUUCACGGGGAUAAAGAGGGCCACGCGUGGCCCGUUGCAGGUACCGUGCGAAUAAGGACCGGCUAAUUCCGUGCC